Molecule: ribosomal RNA, 368 nt
Filed under: uncultured soil bacterium
Lineage: Bacteria
Description: bacterial SSU rRNA
Rfam family: Bacterial small subunit ribosomal RNA
Source: RNAcentral
AGAUUGAACGCUGGCGGCAGGCCUAACACAUGCAAGUCGAGCGGCAGCACGGGUACUUGUACCUGGUGGCGAGCGGCGGACGGGUGAGUAAUGCCUAGGAAUCUGCCUGGUAGUGGGGGAUAACGCUCGGAAACGGACGCUAAUACCGCAUACGUCCUACGGGAGAAAGCAGGGGACCUUCGGGCCUUGCGCUAUCAGAUGAGCCUAGGUCGGAUUAGCUAGUUGGUGAGGUAAUGGCUCACCAAGGCGACGAUCCGUAACUGGUCUGAGAGGAUGAUCAGUCACACUGGAACUGAGACACGGUCCAGACUCCUACGGGAGCAGCAGUGGGGAAUAUUGGACAAGUGGGCGAAGCCUGAUCCAGCCAU